GUCCACGCCGUAAACGAUGUCUACUAGCCGUUGGGGUACUUGAGACCUUAGUGGCGCAGCUAACGCACUAAGUAGACCGCCUGGGGAGUACGGCCGCAAGGUUAAAACUCAAAUGAAUUGACGGGGGCCCGCACAAGCGGUGGAGCAUGUGGUUUAAUUCGAUGCAACGCGAAGAACCUUACCAGGUCUUGACAUACAGCGAACUUUCCAGAGAUGGAUUGGUGCCUUCGGGAACGCUGAUACAGGUGCUGCAUGGCU
Molecule: ribosomal RNA, 258 nt
Filed under: uncultured bacterium
Lineage: Bacteria
Description: partial 16S ribosomal RNA
Rfam family: Bacterial small subunit ribosomal RNA
Source: RNAcentral